This 321-nucleotide ribosomal RNA is filed under the name Triticum aestivum (bread wheat). RNAcentral describes it as "partial small subunit ribosomal RNA". The record is from RNAcentral. Lineage: Eukaryota; Viridiplantae; Streptophyta; Magnoliopsida; Poales; Poaceae.
AUGCAGAGGUGCCUAGUCAAGCUCUGGGGGAAGUUGCAAGCAAAGGAUGAAGAGAUAAGCAGCCUUAAAAUGGAUAUUGAACAAGUGAACCUUAAGCUAGAGAACCUUGUUGCAGCUGUGGAAAGAAGUAAUGUAACUACCAUGAAGAUUGACAGGCAAAAGAAGCAAAUGGGUAUCGUUGAUAAAGAUGUCAAGCGCAUUCAGAGGUCUCUCACAAGUGCCAUUCAUAAUCUUAAGGACGACAAGGGUGAUAUUAAGCUGGACAAGGAUUUUCUGAAGGAGGAGGUGCAUAAGCUGAAGAAGAAUAGAAGCAAGAUGUGA